UACGUAGGGGGCGAGCGUUGUCCGGAUUUAUUGGGCGUAAAGAGCGUGUAGGCGGCCAGGUAGGUCUGCUGUGAAAACUCGAGGCUCAACCUCGAGACGUCGGCGGAAACCAUCUGGCUAGAGUCCGGAAGAGGAGAGUGGAAUUCCUGGUGUAGCGGUGAAAUGCGCAGAUAUCGGGAGGAACACCAAUUGCGAAGGCAGCUCGCUGGGACGUAACUGACGCUGAGACGCGAAAGCGUGGGGAGCAAACAGG
This 253-nucleotide ribosomal RNA is filed under the name uncultured bacterium. RNAcentral describes it as "partial 16S ribosomal RNA". It matches the Rfam family "Bacterial small subunit ribosomal RNA", at positions 524 to 776 of the family's 1533-position model. The record is from RNAcentral.